Castor canadensis (American beaver) is the source of this 3375-nucleotide non-coding RNA. NCBI's taxonomy places the organism in Eukaryota, Metazoa, Chordata, Mammalia, Rodentia, Castoridae. The record is from RefSeq and is a predicted model, not a curated record.
UUUCUUCAAUGGGACUGGGAUUUGAACUCAGGGCUUUGUGCUUGCAAAGCAGGUGCUCUACCGCUUGAGCCACACCUACAGCCCCUGGAGUCAGGAUUCUGAAGACCUGGAGUUGGAACAACUGUGCUGGCUGAAUUCUACAGUCCUGUCUGCCUUGGAAUGCCUCCCAGGAAGCAGGAGAGGGUGUGGGCCAAAGUCACACAGCCCCUGGUAGGUUGGAAGAUCACUACAGAUAGGAUUGCAUUUCAUUUUUCAGAUAGUGGUAAAACCCAGAGAGGGGAAGGAUCUGCCUGGAGUCACACAGCAAGUGUGUGUCAAAGGCUAAGGCCCCUUUCCCCUACACCUCAGAGUAACACCCCAGGCCAUGCCAAUCUCUGAGACUACCUGGGAGCGGGUGGGCAGCGUGCAGCCCAGAAGGUGACAGGAAGUACUUGGGAGCUACAUGGGUCAGUAAGGAGCCCAGUCGGUCAUGCUAAGGACACACGUUUAUACUUCUGCCCUUUCCCGGCAAAGUUUUACAGCCUCCCAGAAUGCCCUAGGGAACCCCUUCCUCUUAUUCUUUUUGUUGCUUUUUUGAGAUAGGGUCUCAGUAUGUACCUCAGGAUGGCCUCAAACUUGCAAUCCUCCUGCCCCAGACUCAAGAAUGCUGAGAUUGAGAACACGCACCACCAUGCCCAUUCUCUUCCUCUUAUUCCUGAAGGAGAUCCUUCACUGCUCUGGCCCUCAGUCUAGCCAUCUGUAAAACGGUCUCCAAGUUCCUUUUGGUGGGGCAAUCUAGAAACCUAGGCUUUCGGACUCUUAGGCUUUUACGAGGUAGGAAUUGGAAGAGGGUGGAAAGGGGGCUUCCAGAGCGAGGAGCCUUUGUUUGGGAAGCCACCGAGAGUGCAAAGCACGCGGACCCCCGAGCAGUGCCUAGCCAGGGCAGGGAGAGGUAGGGCCUCGAGGGCGUGCCCCGCGCACGUGGGCGUGACCUGGGGGGCGUGUUCUCCCUUCGCCCCGCCCCUGGACGUAGUCGCGGAACUCGCUCCGGGGAGGGAGGAGCGCGCCGCCCGCGCGCCGCCUGGCCGGGCGGAAAGUUUUCCUGACGGAGUUUUUGGCGGCGGCGUUGGAGGCUGGAGCGGGCCAUGGACGCGCUCAAGUCUGCGGGGCGGGCGCUGAUCCGGAGCCCCAGCCUGGCCAAGCAGAGCUGGGGGGGCGGCGGCCGGCACCGCAAGCUGCCCGAGAACUGGACAGACACCCGGGAGACACUGCUCGAGGGCAUGUUGUUCAGCCUCAAGUACCUGGGCAUGACACUGGUGGAGCGACCCAAGGGUGAGGAGCUGUCAGCCGCCGCUGUCAAGAGGAUCGUGGCCACGGCCAAGGCCAGUGGGAAGAAGCUGCAGAAGGUAACUCUCAAGGUGUCGCCACGGGGAAUUAUCCUGACUGACAACCUCACCAACCAGCUCAUUGAGAAUGUGUCCAUUUACAGGAUCUCCUACUGCACAGCAGACAAAAUGCACGACAAAGUAUUUGCAUACAUCGCCCAGAGCCAGCACAGUGAGAAUCUCGAGUGCCAUGCCUUUCUCUGUACCAAGCGAAAAAUGGCACAGGCUGUCACCCUCACUGUAGCCCAGGCCUUCAAAGUUGCCUUUGAAUUCUGGCAGGUGUCCAAGGAAGAGAAAGAGAAGAGGGAGAAAGCCAACCAAGAAGGAGGGGACAUCUUGGGGACCUGCCGUGACAGCGCCCCCUCAUUGAAAAGCUUGGUUGCCACUGGAAACCUGCUGGACUUGGAAGAGACGGCAAAGGCCCCACUGUCUACGGUUAGUGCUAACACUGCUAACAUGGAUGAGGUACCACGACCUCAAGCCUUGAGUAGCAGCAGCGUCAUCUGGGUGAGUAGCUGUAUGGCCUGGGACCCAGUCAGCUUCUGGGUCCAGGCUACAACAUGUGGGCCUCUGGGAGGACCAGACCCAGCCCAGCAGCGCCUACACCCAGGGUGGAGGAUGAACAAUGUCCCCUUUGAACCCAGGGCUGUGUCCCCAGCAGGCCCAGCUCCCAGCACAGCUGUCUCCUCACAAUGCCUGGCCUCUUGGCCUGAGCAUCAUGACUGCCCACGACAGGACCAGCCAAAGGAGCCCUUGUUCUUGGUGUGGCAGAAUUCUGCCUGACACUCCUCCCCACUCUGCCAUCUAAAUGCAGAGACGCAGACUUGGACCCUUGUCAGCUUGGCUCCCAACUCCCUGUGACUCAGGGCAAGCCCCUGACCUCUCUGUGUCUCGGCUUUUUUGUCCCCUCACUGAGGAAAUGAGGAGAUUGUCUGCCCACAGAAUCUCCCAGAGGAAUCUGAGGGGUUUUUAUUUUAAAUUUUUGUUUGAAGAUGAUUUCAGAUUAUGUUACAAAAUUAGUAGAAAGAUUUCCAGCUUGCCUUUCCAUCCAGAUGUCAACUAGAUGUUGACAUCUUCAUAACCACAUUUACUACCAAGUAAUUGUCAGUGACACAGCCCUGUUACAUAACCUGCAGAACUGAUUGCCCUUUUUCACUUGUGCCUCCUUUGUCCUUUUUCUGCUCCAGCAUCCAUAUCCCUUUGCUUGUUAAUUUUGAAAAAUUUAGAAUAUGGAAGGACUUUAACAACGUCAGUUUCCUCUGACUUUUGGGGGCAACUGGGCUGUCUCUUGAACCUGUCCUCUGCUGUCUGGGGACUUCCCUACCCGACUCACCCCAGAGGCCAAGGAGGAACCUUGCCUGAACUUUGGUCUGAGUCUCUGAGAUCCUGACUGGAGUUAUUCCUCAUUUAUUUGACACAGGUCUUGCCCAGGCCGGUCUCAAACUCCCAAUCUUCCUGCCUCAGUCUCCUGAGUGCUAGAAGUACAAAUUUGGGGUUUGGGCUGACUUUGGAAGUAGAUGAAGGCAGACAUCUUCUUUCUCUACCCUUUCCUUUUUGGAAAUCAUCAGGUCCCUCAAUUUACAGAAGAAAAAGCUGAGUGUCAAAGAGGCUGUGGCUGUGGGACUUGCCUCAGAUCUCCCAGGCUGCUACUGGCAGAGCUGGGAGUUGAACCUGCGCCCACCUCCAGAAGCCUUGUUCUUGUCCCAUACCCCAGUUUCAGGUUCAUCAGAGACUGAUGGCACCACCCAAACAGGAGGCCUGCCUGUACCCGUUCCUCCGGCAACCAUUCCCUUUAGUGUCCUGAGUCCCUGUGACUUGCCCAAGUCUUCCCCACAGUGAGCAUGGGUUCCCUACUCAACAUCUCACCUCCUGCUUUGUUUCCCCAAGGAGCUGGACGAUGGCCUGGACGAAGCAUUUUCCAGGUUGGCGCAGUCGCGGACGAACCCACAGGUCCUAGACACUGGGCUGUCAGCACAGGACAUCCAUUAUGCCCAGUGCCUCUCUCCCACCG